Molecule: transfer RNA, 72 nt
Filed under: Nannocystis pusilla
Lineage: Bacteria; Pseudomonadati; Myxococcota; Nannocystales; Nannocystaceae
Rfam family: tRNA
About the family: Transfer RNA (tRNA) molecules are approximately 80 nucleotides in length. Their secondary structure includes four short double-helical elements and three loops (D, anti-codon, and T loops).
Source: Rfam by way of RNAcentral
GCGGGAGUAGCUCAGUUGGUAGAGCGUCAGCCUUCAAGCUGAAUGUCGCGAGUUCGACCCUCGUCUCCCGCU